UACGAAGGGUGCAAGCGUUACUCGGAAUUACUGGCGUAAAGCGUGCGUAGGUGGUCUGUUAAGUCUGAUGUGAAAGCCCUGGGCUCAACCUGGGAAUUGCAUUGGAUACUGGCAGGCUAGAGUGCGGUAGAGGGUAGUGGAAUUCCCGGUGUAGCAGUGAAAUGCGUAGAGAUCGGGAGGAACAUCUGUGGCGAAGGCGACUACCUGGACCAGCACUGACACUGAGGCACGAAAGCGUGGGGAGCAAACAGG
RNAcentral lists this ribosomal RNA (252 nucleotides) under uncultured bacterium. Its description in RNAcentral is "partial 16S ribosomal RNA". It matches the Rfam family "Bacterial small subunit ribosomal RNA", at positions 524 to 776 of the family's 1533-position model. The record is from RNAcentral.